GUGGGGAAUAUUGGACAAUGGGCGAAAGCCUGAUCCAGCAAUGCCGCGUGAGUGAUGAAGGCCUUAGGGUUGUAAAGCUCUUUUACCAGGGAUGAUAAUGACAGUACCUGGAGAAUAAGCUCCGGCUAACUCCGUGCCAGCAGCCGCGGUAAUACGGAGGGAGCUAGCGUUGUUCGGAAUUACUGGGCGUAAAGCGCGCGUAGGCGGUUACUCAAGUCAGAGGUGAAAGCCCGGGGCUCAACCCCGGAACUGCCUUUGAAACUAGGUGACUAGAAUCUUGGAGAGGUCAGUGGAAUUCCGAGUGUAGAGGUGAAAUUCGUAGAUAUUCGGAAGAACACCAGUGGCGAAGGCGACUGACUGGACAAGUAUUGACGCUGAGGUGCGAAAGCGUGGGGAGCAAACAGGAUUAGAAACCCCUGUAGUCC
Molecule: ribosomal RNA, 425 nt
Filed under: uncultured bacterium
Lineage: Bacteria
Description: partial 16S ribosomal RNA
Rfam family: Bacterial small subunit ribosomal RNA
Source: RNAcentral